CUGUCACUUAUAGAUGGAUCCGCGCUGCAUUAGCUAGUUGGUAAGGUAACGGCUUACCAAGGCAACGAUGCAUAGCCGACCUGAGAGGGUGAUCGGCCACACUGGAACUGAGACACGGUCCAGACUCCUACGGGAGGCAGCAGUAGGGAAUCUUCCGCAAUGGGCGAAAGCCUGACGGAGCAACGCCGCGUGAGUGAUGAAGGUCUUCGGAUCGUAAAACUCUGUUAUUAGGGAAGAACAUAUGUGUAAGUAACUGUGCACAUCUUGACGGUACCUAAUCAGAAAGCCACGGCUAACUACGUGCCAGCAGCCGCGGUAAUACGUAGGUGGCAAGCGUUAUCCGGAAUUAUUGGGCGUAAAGCGCGCGUAGGCGGUUUUUUAAGUCUGAUGUGAAAGCCCACGGCUCAACCGUGGAGGGUCAUUGGAAACUGGAAAACUUGAGUGCAGAAGAGGAAAGUGGAAUUCCAUGUGUAGCGGUGAAAUGCGCAGAGAUAUGGAGGAACACCAGUGGCGAAGGCGACUUUCUGGUCUGUAACUGACGCUGAUGUGCGAAAGCGUGGGGAUCAAACAGGAUUAGAUACCCUGGUAGUCCACGCCGUAAACGAUGAGUGCUAAGUGUUAGGGGGUUUCCGCCCCUUAGUGCUGCAGCUAACGCAUUAAGCACUCCGCCUGGGGAGUACGACCGCAAGGUUGAAACUCAAAGGAAUUGACGGGGACCCGCACAAGCGGUGGAGCAUGUGGUUUAAUUCGAAGCAACGCGAAGAACCUUACCAAAUCUUGACAUCCUUUGACAACUCUAGAGAUAGAGCCUUCCCCUUCGGGGGACAAAGUGACAGGUGGUGCAUGGUUGUCGUCAGCUCGUGUCGUGAGAUGUUGGGUUAAGUUCCGCAACGAGCGCAACCCUUAAGCUUAGUUGCCAUCAUUAAGUUGGGCACUCUAAGUUGACUGCCGGUGACAAACCGGAGGAAGGUGGGGAUGACGUCAAAUCAUCAUGCCCCUUAUGAUUUGGGCUACACACGUGCUACAAUGGACAAUACAAAGGGCAGCGAAACCGCGAGGUCAAGCAAAUCCCAUAAAGUUGUUCUCAGUUCGGAUUGUAGUCUGCAACUCGACUACAUGAAGCUGGAAUCGCUAGUAAUCGUAGAUCAGCAUGCUACGGUGAAUACGUUCCCGGGUCUUGUACACACCGCCCGUCACACCACGAGAGUUUGUAACACCCGAAGCCGGUGGAGUAACCUUUUAGGAGCUAGCCGUCGAAGGUGGGACAAAUGAUUGGGGUGAAGUCGUAACAAGGUAGCCGUAUCGGAAGGUGCGGCUGGAUCACCUCCUUUCUAAGGA
RNAcentral lists this ribosomal RNA (1338 nucleotides) under Staphylococcus aureus. RNAcentral describes it as "bacterial SSU rRNA". It matches the Rfam family "Bacterial small subunit ribosomal RNA", at positions 212 to 1533 of the family's 1533-position model. The record is from RNAcentral. Lineage: Bacteria; Bacillati; Bacillota; Bacilli; Caryophanales; Staphylococcaceae.